Long non-coding RNA from Triticum aestivum (bread wheat), 3124 nucleotides. RefSeq lists it as uncharacterized. The record is from RefSeq and is a predicted model, not a curated record. The transcript has 5 exons. Lineage: Eukaryota; Viridiplantae; Streptophyta; Magnoliopsida; Poales; Poaceae.
UUCGCUCGCACGACCUCCUCCUUCUCCUCCCGCACGACCUCCUCCUCCUCCCGCGCCGUUCGCCUCCCGCAACCGCGCCCAUCGCCGCAGGCUCGCGCCGAGCCACGGGAAGCCGCACCCUUCACUGUCGCCUCACGCCGCCGGAUCCACGGGAGCCGCCGCGGGUCGCCGCCUCCCCACCCGCGGGAGCCGCCCCGUCGCGCCCUUCGCCGCCUCCCGCGGCGCCUCGUGUCGCCGCCUCCCCAGUCGCGGGAGCCGCGGCGCCUCGUGUCGCCGCCUCCCCACCCGCGGGAGCCGCCCCGUCGCGCCCUUCGCCGCCUCUCGCGGCGCCGCGUGUCGCCGCCUCCCCAGCCGCGGGAGCCACCCCGCAGCGGGUCGCUGCCUCCCCAGCCGCCGGAGCCACCCCACCGCGCCCUUCGCCGCCUCUGGAGCCGCAGCUUGGCCUCCGUCACGCCGCCCCUCCGCCUCCGUCGCAAGUAAGUUUCUUUUUGCAAGAUGCCUCUAGGAAGAACUCAACCUACUACAAGCAUUGGAAUCUAUGUUAGCAGAGAACUGGACGAUCAUGGCAAGAUGUGCUGAUUCAGCAGGCACGCUCCUAAUGGAUUCAUCAAUGGUAGUAGAGUGCCACCAAUGGAUUCAUCUAUGAGCUAUGGGUUGUCAAGGCUACAGUAGUAAUUAUAAGCUUUUAACUUCUGUUAAAUUUGGGUGGAUCGAUGCCUCGCCGAACUAACUUAUGAAAUUGGAGAUCAGUUGAUUUGAUAAUCGUUACCUGGCUGGCAAUCCCUGACAAGUGAACUUAAUACUACGUGCAUGACAACUACACUUUGGUCUGCACUCUUCAUCUACAACUCAAAGUUAGUAAACUCUUCUUUGUUUCUUUUUUGGAAUCCACUUAAUGCAAUAGAGUUUCAGAAACUAAAAGCCUGUUGUAAAUUAUGGCAAUUCUCUGACUUUUUUUGGUAAUGCCUAAUGCCUCCAGGUCCUAUUUGAAUCACAGUAAAACCGUAGCAGAGAUAGAAGUAUCAGAUCACCGGGGCAUGAAAAUGUUCACCGCUGUGUUCAAUGAAACCCACUGUACUAUUAGUCAGUACUUGGAUUUGAGCAAUCAAAAUAUGCCUUGCAUGAAGAAGAUGAAGGAGUAUAAAUUUAGGUGUUCUUUCAAGUAAGAUUUGAUAACUGACGAAACUGAGUAAAAGUAUUGCCAUAGUGUGUGACAUACCAAUCUGCAACAUACCAAACUGAGUUUCUUUUGCACUUCCAACCAAAGGGCAGAGGAUUUUGUUCAGGGGAUUUCCUAUUGCUGAACUGUACAGGGGAUUUUGUUCAUGCCUUACGGUUCUCAAUCCUAUACAUUAGGGUUCUGCACAUGGGAUUUUGUUCAUGCAUGACUCACUGUACAAUAGGAAUUGUUGACAAUUCAUAAACAAUAACAAAAUCACAGGGUCAGAUCGAGGACCGAUUGGAGGUAACAAAUACAGUAUAUGUUUUCCGUAGCGAAGGUGUGGGUUGUUAUUAAAGGGUAGUUCUAACAUCAGAAAUCAAUCCAAUUUAGGCUAUGAUAGAACAAUAAUGUUGUAUGUGUAACUGCCAUCAAAUAUUCAUGAAAGUUAUCCUUAAUAUGACCAGCAAUCAACACCCACAUACAAGUUUCUCUAUUUACCUCAUCAUGUUUCCCUGAAACUUGAUGCACAUGCCAAUGUGAUUCAGAGUUUUUAGUGAGGCUGCAGAUUCUAGAAAUGGGUUAAUCAUAUUCAUUAUUCCUACACAAGACAAUCCACCGGAUAUUAGGUAUUGUUAUUGUUUCAUUAGUGUCCCGAGGCCCUCACUUAUCCAGAUCAAAUCUCUAAAAAAAGCGCAAGGUGUGAACACAGAAGAAAUUGACAGCAAACUGUAAACCAGUAACCAAGAUCUAAAUUUCAACACUAAAACGGUCAUCUAUACUCAGAGACCAAGCACAAACCAAUUUCGUAUUCUCUAACCAAAAAUUUACCAGCAUAGACGUUUAGGCGCUGGCAUGGCAAUGUUUCUGUACAGAGUACUUUCUACAACAGGAUUACAUGUAUUCUCAGCGUUCUUUGUUGCUGUGAUCCUCUGAUUGGGUCGUCGAUUUUGUCGCUGAUUUGGGGAUUGUUCUCCUAGACUGAAGAUUGAUCUGUGUUACCUCUCUUUGAAAAGAAGAGAAAAUGGGGACUUUUGAUUUGUGUACUAGAAUUGUCCCUGAUCCUUUCUUACAUAAUGGUCAAAAUCAGGUCGUGCUACACAGUCAUGGAGCUGGAGCAUCAGGUUAUGUUUCUAAUUAAUAUCGCAUGUGUUGGUGACAGGUAUGUAAGUUUGCAGGCGAGUGCAAGGUAAGUAGCAGACAGGCUAGAUGCACUCUGUUUGUGACGACGGUCAGAUGAAUUGUGCAAGGCACAUGCCAGCUUGUUCAUGUUCCGUGCACACGUUAAUGCUGCAAAAGGCCAAAAGCGAUGCACUGAUCAUGUUCCAGAUUAUCAAGAAUGAUGAGCUCCAAGAACCCAGUUCUGAAACUUUUGUAACUGUAUAUCUUGGUAAAUUGAGGGGCUCUAAUGUUGCAAUAAAAAGAAAUGGCAGAUGUUUCCCCGGGAAGCCAUCUCAGCGAGACAAAAUGCAUGUCAAUUCUCUCUUGAGAGGGGUCAAUUAGAUUGGACAAUGGCUUCGCUGAGAACCAGGGAGUAUCAAGGUCUGCACAAGCACAUGUGGCUUCUUCAAUAAUAAGACCUUGAUUUGCUCACUAGAAGAUAGAUAUGGCAAGGAGGGCGCAUCGAGAACAAAGCAUCUUCUAGCCAAAAGAAGGUGAGUCUGUACGUGUUGUCUUCGUGGAUUGGUGGCAUGAUGCCAAUGUAUGCAUGGUGGAUUGAAUGUGGCGCUAAAAGCAUGGAUGGGCGACUCAUCAAGAGUAAGAAAAAAGGCAUACGCCAGUUUCAGUGAUAUAGAACCCGUUUGUAAAACAAAAGAAUCUUUUGAUCAAAUGUUAUUUCAUAUUUUUUUUUUGCUACCAUGGCAACGCAGACACAUUACCUAUUCAAAUUAAAAAACAGUAUAAUUGAGCUACCUAUGAGCGAUCAAAGCGAUUUGAGGUUCUCAGCCUUCUUAAAUUUGAUUC